This is a non-coding RNA of Heterocephalus glaber (naked mole-rat), 1292 nucleotides long. The record is from RefSeq and is a predicted model, not a curated record. Lineage: Eukaryota; Metazoa; Chordata; Mammalia; Rodentia; Bathyergidae.
CUACAGUCAGCACUCAGGAGGUUGAGGCAAGAGGAUUGCUGCAAGUUUGAGGCCAGCCUGGGCUGCAUAGUGAAUUCAAGGCCAGCCUGAACUACAUAGUGAGAUCCUGGCUCAAAAAAAAGAAAGAAAGAAAGAAAGCUAACAUAUCCAUACUCAGCUGGCCUUGAGGUGCUGAGCUGAGUAACAGCCUGGACAUUGCUCAUGUUGGUGUUGCCUUUUAAAAUCUUCAUAACUGUUCUCUUGUCUGUUUCAGUAGGAAAAUUGUCUUAGUUACUUUUUUUGUUGCUGAGACAAGAUAUCUGACACCCAAAGUUAAAGAAGGAAAAGUUUAUUUCAGCUCACAGUUUGUAGAGGUUUCAGUUCAUAGUUGUCUGGCUCCAAGGCAGGACGGCAUGGCAGAGGGGCACCACAGAAGUGAAACAGUCCAUGGCAGGCAGAAAGUAGAGGCAGCAAGGCAGCAAGCGGCAAGCUACAAGAGACAAGCAGUGACCCUCUUUCCCUUAUAUGUUAUCCAUGUUGCCCCCUCUUAGGCCAAGUAGCACACCCAGGUUGGGGCAGCUUUAAUCUUAGCAUUGCACCAUGAAUCAAUCCCAGCAUCACAUCCUUGAUCCCAGCCCCACACACCCUAGAUACAGCCAUCUCUGAAAAGCCCCACCUAUGAUCGCAUGAAGCCAGAUACAUGUCAUAACAAAAACAUUUUUAUUUUUAAUUUUUUUUUUUUGCUUUUUGAGACAAGGUCUUGCUAUAUAGCUCAGGCUGGUCUUGGAGUCACUACGUAGCCCAGGCUGGCCUCAAACUUGCAGUGAUCCUCCUGCCUCAACCUCCUGAGUGCUGCAAUUACAGGCAUGCACCACUACACCUGGCACAGAAAGGUUUUAAAUGUGGUACUUUGGGUGAUAUUAGAGUGAUUACUGCAGGAGUAUGCACUCAAUAAAACUGGAUUUGUAUUUGCGAGGAGCACAUAUUUGGGGAACUACUUUAGCAAUGAAAAGGCCAUGGAUAUGGAGAAAGCAAGAAGCUACUAAUAUGGUGGGGAAGCUGGUGCUUCGUCACUUCAAUGUCCGGGGCAGGAUGGAGUCCAUCUGGUGGCUCUUGGCUGCAGCUGGAGGAGAGAUGGGCUUUUGAUGUUCCAGCAAGUACCAGUGAUGGAGAUGGAUGGGAUGAAGUUGCUGCAGACCAGAGCCAUUCUCAACUGCAUUGUCACCAAGUCUGUGGGAAAAAUAUAAAGGAGAGACUCCUGUAUGGAUAUUUUCUGUUGUUACAUGAGGAGACUACACAGGGAAGAUUUAGGU